GAAUGUAACACUUUCAAUUCAGUUAUAGAUCUGGUUUGAUUUUAUUUAAUAUAUUGGAUAUUUUGCUCUUUGAUCCAAUCUCUUGUAUUCCUAACACAUGCUAUGUGUUGAGCUUCAUUUCUUAUUGAUUUUAGAUAUUAAUUGAAGGACUAAAUUGUGAAAAUUAAUAUAGAAAUAACGGGAUUUUGAACUUGAGAUUCUUAAUCUAGAGAUAGACUGUAAUUCUAUGUGAAUCUAGCAAUUAAUUAAAGAAUUUAAUGAAUUUUAAUUGAUUUAAUCACCA
This 283-nucleotide unclassified non-coding RNA is filed under the name Hevea brasiliensis (rubber tree). Lineage: Eukaryota; Viridiplantae; Streptophyta; Magnoliopsida; Malpighiales; Euphorbiaceae. The record is from RNAcentral.